CGCCUAACACAUGCAAGUCGAGCGCAGUCCUUCGGGACCGAGCGGCGGACGGGUUAGUAACGCGUGGGAACAUACCCUUCUCUACGGAAUAGCCUCGGGAAACUGAGAGUAAUACCGUAUAAGCCCUUCGGGGGAAAGAUUUAUCGGUGAAGGAUUGGCCCGCGUAAGAUUAGAUAGUUGGUGGGGUAAUGGCCUACCAAGUCUACGAUCUUUAGCUGGUUUGAGAGGGUGAUCAGCAACACUGGGACUGAGACACGGCCCAGACUCCUACGGGAGGCAGCAGUGGGGAAUCUUAGACAAUGGGGGAAACCCUGAUCUAGCGAUGCCGCGUGUGUGACGAAGGCCUUAGGGUCGUAAAGCACUUUCGCCAAGGAUGAUAAUGACAGUACUUGGUAAAGAAACCCCGGCUAACUCCGUGCCAGCAGCCGCGGUAAUACGGAGGGGGUUAGCGUUGUUCGGAAUUACUGGGCGUAAAGCGCACGUAGGCGGACCUUUAA
RNAcentral lists this ribosomal RNA (497 nucleotides) under uncultured Alphaproteobacteria bacterium. RNAcentral's name for it is "bacterial SSU rRNA". It matches the Rfam family "Bacterial small subunit ribosomal RNA", at positions 45 to 586 of the family's 1533-position model. Lineage: Bacteria; Pseudomonadati; Pseudomonadota; Alphaproteobacteria. The record is from RNAcentral.